Molecule: ribosomal RNA, 253 nt
Filed under: uncultured bacterium
Lineage: Bacteria
Description: partial 16S ribosomal RNA
Rfam family: Bacterial small subunit ribosomal RNA
Source: RNAcentral
UACGUAGGUGGCGAGCGUUGUCCGGAUUUACUGGGCGUAAAGAGCGCGCAGGCGGUCGAUCAAGUCGAGUGUGAAAGCCCCCGGCUCAACUGGGGAGGGUCAUUCGAUACUGAUCGACUCGAAGGCAGGAGAGGGUAGUGGAAUUCCCGGUGUAGUGGUGAAAUGCGUAGAUAUCGGGAGGAACACCAGUGGCGAAGGCGACUACCUGGCCUGUUCUUGACGCUGAGGCGCGAAAGCUAGGGGAGCAAACAGG